GACGAACGCUGGCGGCGUGCUUAACACAUGCAAGUCGAACGGAAAGGCCCUGCUUUUGUGGGGUGCUCGAGUGGCGAACGGGUGAGUAACACGUGAGUAACCUGCCCUUGACGUUGGGAUAACUUCAGGAAACUGGGGCUAAUACCGGAUAGGAGCUCCUGCUGCAUGGUGGGGGUUGGAAAGUUUGGGCGGGUGGGGAUGGACUCGCGGCUUAUCAGCUUGUUGGGGGGGUGGUGGCUUACCAAGGCUUUGACGGGUAGCCCGCCUGAGAGGGUGACCGGCCACAUUGGGACUGAGAGACGGCCCAGACUCCUACGGGAGGCAGCAGUGGGGAAUAUUGCCCAAUGGGCGGAAGCCUGAUGCAGCAACGCCGCGUGCGGGAUGACGGCCUUCGGGUUGUAAACCGCUUUCGCCUGUGCCGAAGCGUGAGUGACGGUAAUGGGUAAAGAAGCACCGGCUAACUACGUG
RNAcentral lists this ribosomal RNA (468 nucleotides) under uncultured bacterium. RNAcentral's name for it is "partial 16S ribosomal RNA". It matches the Rfam family "Bacterial small subunit ribosomal RNA", at positions 28 to 507 of the family's 1533-position model. The record is from RNAcentral.